This 253-nucleotide ribosomal RNA is filed under the name uncultured bacterium. RNAcentral describes it as "partial 16S ribosomal RNA". It matches the Rfam family "Bacterial small subunit ribosomal RNA", at positions 524 to 776 of the family's 1533-position model. The record is from RNAcentral.
UACGAAGGUCCCGAGCGUUGUUCGGAAUCACUGGGCGUAAAGGGAGCGUAGGCGGCGUGGUAAGUCAGAUGUGAAAUCCCGGGGCUCAACCCCGGAACUGCAUCCGAUACUGCCGUGCUUGAGGGUUGGAGAGGUAGCUGGAAUUUACGGUGUAGCAGUGAAAUGCGUAGAUAUCGUAAGGAAGACCAGUGGCGAAGGCGAGUCUCUGGACAGUUACUGACGCUGAGGCACGAAGGCCAGGGGAGCAAACGGG